This 414-nucleotide ribosomal RNA is filed under the name uncultured bacterium. Its description in RNAcentral is "bacterial SSU rRNA". It matches the Rfam family "Bacterial small subunit ribosomal RNA", at positions 28 to 428 of the family's 1533-position model. The record is from RNAcentral.
AAUCAACGCUGGCGGCGUGCCUAACACAUGCAAGUCGAGCGGGAAAGGGGGCUUCGGUCCCUGAGUAUAGCGGCGGACGGGUGAGUAACACGUGGGUAAUUUGCCCUUGGGUGUGGAAUAACUCAGGGAAACUUGAGCUAAUACCGCAUGACAUCCCCUUCUCACAGGAGUUGGGGAUCAAAGCCGGGGACCCUUCGGGGCCUGGCGCCUGAGGAGAAGCCCGCGCCCGAUUAGCUAGNGGUGAGGUAAUGGCUCACCAAGGCUUCGAUCGGUAGCCGGCCUGAGAGGGCGGACGGCCACACUGGGACUGAGACACGGCCCAGACUCCUACGGGAGGCAGCAGUGGGGAAUUUUUGUCAAUGGGGGGAAACCCUGAACAAGCAACGCCGCGUGGAGGACGACGACCUGGUGUAA